CAGGACAUCCGCGGGAGCCCGGGCGCAACCGGGCUGAGAGUGGGGCUGGGCGGCCCCUGACCGUACGAACCUGAUCCGGGUCAUGCCGGCGAAGGGAGGCAGGUUCCCCCAUGG
RNAcentral lists this non-coding RNA (114 nucleotides) under Wenjunlia vitaminophila. Its description in RNAcentral is "Streptomyces vitaminophilus TPP sequence". It matches the Rfam family "TPP riboswitch aptamer (THI element)". Rfam says of the family: Vitamin B(1) in its active form thiamin pyrophosphate (TPP) is an essential coenzyme that is synthesised by coupling of pyrimidine and thiazole moieties in bacteria. The record is from Rfam by way of RNAcentral. Lineage: Bacteria; Bacillati; Actinomycetota; Actinomycetes; Kitasatosporales; Streptomycetaceae.